AUGGCGCAGUCCCUGCCUCCUCCGCCCUGGAUCCAUGCAGCCCUUGCCUGCUCCACCAUUGGCCGCUGUCCCGUGCAGCACCGCCCUGCCCGACCUCGGCCUGCCCCAUUGCGCCGCCUCCACGAGCUGGCACCCAUCGCUGGAUCCGGUCGCCACGAGCCCCAACGAGGCGCCAGCGGUGGAUCCGGCCGCCACAGCCGAUGCCACCACCGGUCGCUGGCCGUUCACCCCCGAGACCCGAGGGCCUCCUGCAAGCAUGGCGAGGAGAGCACUUCUUGGCCGUUUGCCGGUCCACAUCGUGAGGUUCACCGACCACAUGACUGCAGUGCAGUUGACCCCUUCAUGUGCAGCGAGAUCCCCGCCGCCCUCUCCCGCAAGUGCACGGCCGCCUCCGCCGUAGACAGCGAGAAGAAGCAGCAGAAGCUGUCCGACAUCCAGGCUGACGUGCAGGAGUCUAAAUCGCUGAUGCAGCUCACUUUCGCCAAGUCGUCCGACGAAACAGCGAACUACUUCAUUCCUCCUCUCCGCUAUGAGCAGCACGCGGCCAUCGACGACUCCAUAUGCAGUGCACUUGCAGGCGCCGUCUCUUGCAUCUUCAAAAUUUGUUUGGCAGGCGCCGGUGUUCUGGUUCUAUUACAGCUCAGGACCUUUUUUCUUCAGAUUUUGCCUGUGUGCAGCACUACAGUUUUGAUGUCGUUCGGUGUACCGUUAGUUAGAUAA
This 720-nucleotide ribosomal RNA is filed under the name Triticum aestivum (bread wheat). RNAcentral describes it as "partial small subunit ribosomal RNA". Lineage: Eukaryota; Viridiplantae; Streptophyta; Magnoliopsida; Poales; Poaceae. The record is from RNAcentral.